This 214-nucleotide long non-coding RNA is filed under the name Lathyrus oleraceus (garden pea). RNAcentral's name for it is "Pisum sativum (pea) long non-coding RNA (PSAT_LNC014526)". The record is from RNAcentral. Lineage: Eukaryota; Viridiplantae; Streptophyta; Magnoliopsida; Fabales; Fabaceae.
UGUGUACUAGUAUUAUUGUUAUAUUCCUUUAUCAUCUUGUGGCUAAUUUUCACCGUUAUUAUUUGUAAGUAUAUUCUCACCCCUUCUUUAUUUUGUUGGAUUGCCUUUUUGCAAUGUUGUACAUGUAAUCAGCAAGAGUGAUAGAUUGUGAUGAUUGUGAGAUGGUUGUGACACCCUCUUAGCAUUUACUAUCUUUUUUUCAUUUAGUCGAAUA